This 24-nucleotide non-coding RNA is filed under the name Arabidopsis thaliana (thale cress). The record is from RNAcentral. Lineage: Eukaryota; Viridiplantae; Streptophyta; Magnoliopsida; Brassicales; Brassicaceae.
GUAGGUAACUUCUUUCUGGCCUAA